RNAcentral lists this ribosomal RNA (497 nucleotides) under uncultured bacterium. Its description in RNAcentral is "partial 16S ribosomal RNA". It matches the Rfam family "Bacterial small subunit ribosomal RNA", at positions 28 to 507 of the family's 1533-position model. The record is from RNAcentral.
GAUGAACGCUGGCGGCGUGCCUAAUACAUGCAAGUCGAGCGAACGGACGAGAAGCUUGUUUCUCUGAUGUUAGCGGCGGACGGGUGAGUAAUACGUGGAUAACCUACCUAUAAGACUGGGAUAACUUCGGGAAACCGGAGCUAAUACCGGCUAAUAUUUUGAACCGCAUGGUUCAAAAGUGAAAGAAGGUCUUGCUGUCACUUAUAGAUGGAUCCGCGCUGCAUAAGCUAGUUGGUAAGGUAACGGCUUACCAAGGCAACGAUGCAUAGCCGGCCUGAGAGGGUGGUCGGCCACACUAGAACGGAGACACGGACCAGACUCCUACGGGAGGGAGCAAUAGGUAGUCUACCGCGAUCGGCGAAAGCCUGACGGAGCAACGCAGCGUGAGUGAGGAAGGUCUUCGGAUCGUAAGACACUUUUAUUAGGGAAGAACGUAUGUGUAAGUUACUGUGCACAUCUUAACGUAACCUAGUCAAAAAGCCACGGCUAACUACGUG